Long non-coding RNA from Vitis vinifera (wine grape), 702 nucleotides. RefSeq lists it as uncharacterized. The record is from RefSeq and is a predicted model, not a curated record. NCBI's taxonomy places the organism in Eukaryota, Viridiplantae, Streptophyta, Magnoliopsida, Vitales, Vitaceae. The transcript has 2 exons.
AAUAUCAUCCGGUCUUCAGACUCUUCACCCACCAUUUGAAUUCAAAAUUUGAAAACCCACCACAUUCCCAAACCACCCUUCUCUUUUCUUUUUUUUCUUCUUCUUUUUCUGUCCUCUGAUGCAAGGGGAAUAGAGAGAGAGAUAGACAGGUGUGGGUGAAUUGUGACCAUCCUCUUCGGUGCCUUUUGUAAGCAAUGAUCUUGCAAAAAAGAAGUUAAACUAGUUCUGUAUGGAAGGGUGGAGUGAGAGGAAAAAGUGGGAACUUGAUUUGUAAGCAUUGAAGAAGUGGUGUCUCGUCUCGAAAUGCUGGUGUGUGGGGGGUGGUGCUCCUUAAUGGUUGAGUUACUAAUGGUUUGGUCUCUGGGGGACCUCUGCAACUUCAAAAAAAAGUAGGUUCUAAUUUUGAUGUAGCUGCAAUCCAAAGCCUUUUAUCUAAUGAUUCCUGGAAACUUCAAUCUUUUUAUAACUUGGCUUCGGUGGACAGAAAUAGGAGCAUGGUUGCCGUGAUGGGAUCUGGGAAGUUGUUCACAAGGACAACUAGAGCAUUGCUUUUAGGCUGGCAAUGUGGCAUCGCCAAACUCUGGGGAAUCCACCCAAAAAGGUGUUUGAAACGGGCCCAUUUUGCCCUUUGCCUUCUCUGACUGUACUCUGGGCAGCGCACCAGCUGAAAUUUCUUUAACAAUCAACGCCCUUUCCCACCGA